Non-coding RNA from Peromyscus maniculatus bairdii (prairie deer mouse), 528 nucleotides. Lineage: Eukaryota; Metazoa; Chordata; Mammalia; Rodentia; Cricetidae. The record is from RefSeq and is a predicted model, not a curated record.
AUCAUAUAUUGAUUGUGUCUAGUUGCAGUCAUAGGAAGAUCUGCUGGGUCAAGACAGGAAGACGAAGUUCAACGUGACUCUCUACUCUUUUUCCCAUUCUCAUUUUCCUCAACAGAUUUCAUCUGUUAAUAUUAACAUGGGGUGCCUGGUUAAUACUAAACAGGCCCACUUUUGCCCUUCCUAAGCUUCUUUAUUGAGGAACCACAGUACAUUAUCAAUAAUGAAGACACUUUACAGAGCAGUUGGUUGGACAAGGAUGCUGAAGCAGAGGACACAGAGCUGACCUCAGUUUUUCCUUCAUCGUGACCAGAGAGAUUUCUCUUCUUGGGUGAAGAAUCAAGAAGGAAGCAGAACGAGCUUGGUCUGCACAAGGAAGCUUAGGUCUACUCACAUUACAGGCAAGUGACGUCGUUCAAAGCCUGGUGUUUUAUCUACAAAAUCAGGUAGCUCGGCUAAAUCAGGGGUCUACCCAUAUUUCACCAUUUCUACUUCCCUCUCCCUGUCUGUUCUCUUUACCUCCUGACCUCU